UGAGGGUCUUAAUAGCCAGAUCCUCUGCAACUUAAUCAACUGUUUUCCAAACUAUAAGAAAACAAAUGAAUAUUUAUUUGAAACCCCUCAAAUGUGCACAUUACAUUAUUCAAUCGUCCAAUAUCCCUGUGAGGUAGAUAUUGUUGUUUUAGAGUUGAGACUCAGUAAGUUAAGCAUCUUUUCAAAGAUGGCACAGUUAGUAUAUGGUAGAGCCAGAAUUUGAAGCCACAUCUAUAAUAUUCCAUCAUGAGGAACCAGCACUACAGACCAAUAACCUUGCAAAGCAAUUAUUGCAACAGGCCACAUCAACCUGCUCAUGAAACACCACCUGUGGUCUGAAUAAAUAACACCUGCUACAAAUAAUUACACCACUGUCUUUGAAGUAUUUGAAGGUUCUGUUGCAACUUCUAAAAUACAAAUAUCAGUUAACUAAAUCCACUGUGCCUUUUUCUUGACUCAUAUUUUCUCCACCAAUAAUAAUAAUGUGGUUAAUACUCAUUGAACGUGUACACUGGGCAAUACUAGUAAGGGGCAUGGUUAGGUUUGUUGCACUCUGAAAGUCCCUUUUUUUCAUUUUAAAAUUUGUAAUUCUUUUAUUAGUAUGCUUUGAUUCUAUAGCAUUUUCUUUUUUCUUUCUUAUUGGUGCAUUAUAGUUGCACAUAAUGGUGGGAUUUGUUGUUACAUAUUCCUCUAUGCAUACAAUAUAACAAUAUAAUUUGGUCAAUAUUACUUCCAAGCACUUCCCCCUCCCUCCUUCUACCCGCUGGUCUUUUCCUCCACUCUACUGAUGUCCCUUCAAUUUUCAUGACCUGCCCCCAGCACACACACCUUUCUUUUCUUUUUCCUCUCUAGCUUCAACGUGUGAGAGAAAACACAUGACCCUUGACCUUCUGACUUUGGCUUAUUUCCCUUAACAUAAUG
RNAcentral lists this long non-coding RNA (921 nucleotides) under Marmota monax (woodchuck). Lineage: Eukaryota; Metazoa; Chordata; Mammalia; Rodentia; Sciuridae. The record is from RNAcentral.